UAGAUCAAUGUCAAAAGUGAGUCAUGAGCUAAGAUUAUGAUUAAACUACUUCUGUGUACCUGAGAUCCAAA
This 71-nucleotide small nucleolar RNA is filed under the name Pteropus vampyrus (large flying fox). RNAcentral's name for it is "Small nucleolar RNA SNORD112 (ENSPVAG00000028888.1)". The record is from RNAcentral. Lineage: Eukaryota; Metazoa; Chordata; Mammalia; Chiroptera; Pteropodidae.